RNAcentral lists this long non-coding RNA (230 nucleotides) under Elaeis guineensis (African oil palm). RNAcentral describes it as "long non-coding RNA (EGUI_LNC058412)". The record is from RNAcentral. Lineage: Eukaryota; Viridiplantae; Streptophyta; Magnoliopsida; Arecales; Arecaceae.
ACAUAGAGUCUGGUGAAUUGAAAUACACACCAUACAAGCUUUAUGUACACUAAUCAAGCUUAAAUAAAUUUAAAUACAAACUACAAACGUUAAUAUAUACUAAUACAUAAGUAAACAUACUAAUAAGCACACUUAUUUACAAAUUCACAUAGAUUAACAGCUAAAUGACAGAGUAUUCUGUGGAAGAUACUGUGGAAGGAAGGUGGGAUGAAUAUUAUAAUGGAAGGAGG